This 9367-nucleotide long non-coding RNA is filed under the name Equus caballus (horse). Its description in RNAcentral is "lncRNA (ENSECAG00000050895.1)". Lineage: Eukaryota; Metazoa; Chordata; Mammalia; Perissodactyla; Equidae. The record is from RNAcentral.
GAGGCAAAGAGCAACACGUCCGGUCACAGGGCAGCUUAGUGGAGGGAGCAGGAUUUGAACCCAGGUGAAGCCCAUGCUUCUCGCACCACACUGCCUUCUAACAGGAUUGCCAACGUGGGGCACUCCGUCCGAGCAGGGCCCUGUCCUAAGCGUCAUCCACAUAUUCAUAGAACACACACAACCUCCUGGAUAAAGUCCAUCCUCUUUGGCAUCAAAACCCUCUGCAGCCCGGCCUCCGCUGACCUGCCCCACUGGCCUCGUCACCGCUCCUGCCUGGCAGCCACCAGAACAUCCGCAGCUGGACACGGGCCCGCUCCGCCCCCUUCCUGGGUCUUUGAUGGACUUUCUUGUCCAUCUGGAGCACCCCUCUGAGUCCUCUGUUCUGGGAGUGUCUCCUCACCCUCCACGUCCCCAGGCCCGAGGUCGGCAGUGCUCAAUACAUCUUGCCAAUCCAGCCACUAGGAUGAACGGUCCCCCGCCUGCAGGAAUGAGAAGCCUUUGGAUCUGGGCUGCUGUGCGGCCUGAGGCAAGCCCCUGAACCUCUCUGUGCUCAUUUCCUCUCCCUUAUGCCUGAGUUUUAAGAUCUGCCACUUGCUCGUAAACAUUUGACUGUCCCUUUCCUCCCCGUCCUCAGAGCCCAAACCUUCUCCCAAGUCUCGAGCACUUUAUAUUUUAUGUUUAUUUACAGCUUUCUUUUCAGUUUUCCCCUUUGAGUUUCCCGCAGUCUUUCUGUUGUUGAUUUAUUUGCGCUCAGAGGAGAGCUGGCUGGAUCACAGAGGCGCCGCUGGCAGAGCCUGGGAGCCCCGUGCGUGCCCAUGUGAGUUCUCUCAUCCGUAAAGGAUUCUGCCUCCUAGCAAGCGUGAUGGGUCAUGGGAACACACAGGCCGGUGGCGGCAGCCCGGACAAGGACUCCGAACCCCCUGGAAGCCCAGCUGGGGGGAUCCUGGACCGCCCUCCCCCUCUUCAGAGAAUCAUCAGGCAGGAUUUGGGGCAACCCACAUCCCUCUCUCGUGAUUCACUUUUCCCUGGGGGGCCUCCCCCAUGUCCCCCGGCCUCCCCAUAAACGCACAGCCUCUCCCAGAGGCAGGAGUCAUCCAGACGCACUGUGUGAAAUAUCGGGCUGGUGGAGGACACCCCCCGGCAGACCUGGCCUCCCCCGUUGCCUCAUUAUAGCAAGCUUUCCCACACACGGCCUCCCAUUCGGACACCCUGGGAAGCUGGGAAGCCAUCUGCUUAUAGUAACGUGACUUAUGACUUAUGGUUAUGAUUAUGAUUCCUUUUUUUUUUUUGCAAAACAUCUGCUUUAACGGGGAAAAUGCUAUCCGGAGGAGUGGUGGGCUGUAAAAAUGCAACAGCAGGAAAAACUGCCGCUAAUGGUCACUACAUGGAACAGAGCCUCAGAGAUCAGCAGGGCUGUCACGGAGGCGGCUCAGGAAGUGGCCUGUGACGUCCCUGCCAGGGCCUCAAAGAGACCCAGGCUCAGCCCCUGCUGGGGGAGGCAGCCCCGGGAGACCGGCCUCCUAGCAGAGGGCAGUCCCCUCCCCCAAGCCCUCCGUCACCUCUCAGCCCGCUCUGGUCCACGCUGUCAGUGGUGGGAGGGGGCAGGGACCCUAGACUCUGGGGCCAACAGCCCCUUGUCCGGCUGCUGGCUGAAGGAGGAUGCCAGCGCUUUCAAACCUCCCUCUUUCCUCCAAUUACGAGAUUAACAACCCAACACAGACGUUUUCACCCACUUUAACUCCUUCCAGCAGCCUGGGCUAACCAGAGCCCUGCCUGGGGAGCCCCUGGGCCGCCUGAGUUCAGGGACUUGCUGUGUGACCCCGGGAAAGUCCGUUCCCCUCGAGGUUUCCUUCUCUGUGAAAUGAGGGCUUAGGGCUUCUAGGUCAGCAGGGCCAGCGGUAUCAUGCCUGUUUUCUCUUCACUGGAAUGUAAGUUCCAAGAGAGCAGGACUCUGUUACCCACUGUGUGCCCAAGACCUAAGAAAGUCCCUGUCACCAGGAAGUCACCCCAAAGAUCUUUGAUGUAUGAAUUCUGCAGAGUAGCAGACGGAUGCCCUGAAGGUUCAGGGGCAGAGGUUUGAGAAGGAGCUCAGAGCCACUCUGAGCCCCCAGCUCAGGAGAAUGCUUUCCCACGGCUCCCGGCUCCCGCCCAUCCCCCCUCACCCCCCACCCCUCCUCCACCCCCACCCCCCUCCCCUUCUUUCUCAAAGGAGAGGCACGUUCCUGGGGCUGAUGCUCCUCUGGCCAGGUCAGCCAGCGGGGUUAAGAGUCCCCAAGACUCUUUCCUCCGCAUCCUCUCAGGAGAAGCAGGCCUGGCCCGUGGGUCUGGGGCUCCUGCCCCUGGAGCUGCUGCCCCGCUCCUGAGGGGCUCAGUCCUGCCUUUGGGAGUCGAUUCUCUAAGCCCACCUCUGGAGGGGCCUCGUGAAGCUCUGGCGGCUGCCGGAAGCGGAAAUGCAAAUGGGCAGUUUCUAAAAACCAAGCCUUUGGCCUGUGAUGGGCUGCUGGUCAGGAUGGGGAGACAGGCUAAGCAGGUCUCUGGCCAGAGGAGGUUAUGAGGUGUGGGGCCUUGACUGGACAGUCAGCGUCCUGCUGCCCCACCUGUGCCACCCGAGGGGGCGCAGUGACGUGACGGGGCUAAGGGAGAGAACAGGGGACCCAAUAGCAUUCUCCAGACCCAGCUGGUCUUCUCCUCCUCACUCCCCACCAACCUCCCUGCUCCCGGGCUUCCAGCAUCACUGGGCAGAGAGGCUCAGGCACUCCCUCCAGUUCAGGCCUCUCUCCUGAGCUCUGGGAUUAGAUACUGUCCCUUCUGGUCCUCCCUGCAAUGUGUCAGGAAUCAAACUCAACAUCUCUACCAAGACCUGGUCCUCCAUGGGCUCAAGACCGAGCUUUGGGGGUCCCCAGAGGCUCUUCCCUCCCCCUCAUGCCCUGCCUGCAAUCCGCUUGAAGCCCCAUGGAUUCUGUCUCUUAACCACCCUGAAUCUGCCCCCUCCUCUCCAUCACACGCCAUCUCCCGUCUCCUGGCUCCAUCACCCUCUCCUGGCUCCAUGAUCCCUUCCCUGGCUCCAUCACCCUCUCCUGGCUCCAUCCCCCCUUCCCUGGCUCCAUCACCCCUUCCCUGGCUCCAUCACCCUCUCCUGGCUCCAUCACCCCUUCCCUGGCUCCAUCAUCCCUUCCCUGGCUCCAUCACCCCUUCCCUGGCUCCAUCACCCCUUCCCUGGCUCCAUCACCCUCUCCUGGCUCCGUCACCCCUUCCCUGGCUCCAUCAUCCCUUUCCCUGGCUCCAUCACCCCUUCCCUGGCUCCAUCACCCUCUCCUGGCUCCGUCACCCCUUCCCUGGCUCCAUCAUCCCUUCCCUGGCUCCCUCACUCUCUCCCGGCAGGAAGGUGGGCUUGUUCUUCGGAGCUGUGGGGGGACUGGGCUGGAGAGGGAGGGAGGGAAGUCGAGGGUGCGGGAGGAACCCUUAAAGGCCCGCCCUGACAGCCACCCAGGUGGGCCCACCUCAGACAGCACGUGGGAGGGGACGAAGGGUUGGAAUCUACGGAGCACGCGCAGGACACGGGAGCUCAGAGAGGGUGCAAACUCGCGGAGGUCGGCCGGUGGUUGCGAGAGGCUGCCUUCAGAAGCAGGUUUCCCUGAUUCUCACUGCCUCGGUCCUAUUCGAAGUGGCUCCUUAACCUGUGCCUCAGUUUCUUCAACUUCACAAACAAGGAGGAUGAUGAUGAUGACGAUGACGAUAAUGCCACCGUCCCAAGGCUGCUAUGGGGCUCAGAUGAGAUGACGUCUGUCUAAACAAGGUCAAGAGCACAAAAGCUAGCUGGCCAGUGAGGGACCUGGGUCCUAACCCCCCGUCAGAGGGACUGGAAGUGCUCAUCUAACCCUGCUUCCUCCUGCUCCAUCAUCACGUCGCUGUCCGCAUCUUUGAUGCAAAGCAUACUAGGGGUGGAAAAUGGCAGAGUCCUGGGAACUGAGGCUCCUGCCUCCAGGCCCCUGGGGUCCAGGGACAGCUGGGAGAGAAAGACUGGCAGUGGCAGAGUAGCAGCGACCCCAACCUCAGCGCGGGGCAGGGCCGGGCACAGGCCCUCCUUGGGUCUGCGGUUGGACACACGCCCGUGGCUGAGCCUCCAGACCACCCGGCCCAGCCCAGGUCGGGACGUUCUGUACCUUCCUCUGUGAGGCCUGGGGGCCUGUCUGCAGUUUUUAUAAACCACAGAAUGAGAGAGGGAACUGCUUUAUCCUUCAUUCCGAGAAAGGAUCUGGUCUUUGUAAGAAUCACCUUUUCACGACUGUCUAAACUUCUGCUGGUGGAAACCCCGUAAUUGAAUAUGCUGCAACGAGGAAAAUGCUGUGAUAGGACAAUGAGGGCUGGAGCAGACGGCAAAAUGGAACACUCGUCUGGCUCCACCUAUUUCAGUCAACCCGCCGGUGGAGGGGAAUUGGCCAACAGAAAGCUGGUUCGUGGGGCGGUUCCUUCCCGGUGUUUUGUAAUGUUGUUGCUGCACGGUGUUUUCAUUUUUAAAUUGUGUUUCAGAACUUCCUGAAGCCAUAACAGCCUUCCCGCCUCCUUUGCAAACUCUGAAAGCAACAUUUUUUUUUUUUUUUGGAGGAAGAUUAGCCCUGAGCUAACUACCGCCAAUCCUCCUCUUUUUUUGCUAAGGAAGACUGGCCCUGAGCUAACAUCCAUGCCCAUCUUCCUCCACUUUAUAUGUGGGAUGCCUACCACAGCAUGGCGUGCCAAGUGGUGCCAUGUCCACACCCGGGAUCUGAACCUGCUAACCCUGGGCUGCCGAAGCGGAACGUGUGAACUUAACCGCUGCACCACCGGGUCGGCCCCCCAAAACUAACUUUUUGAGAAGAAGAGGCAAAAAGCGGGCAGAGCUGGGUUUUGGGGUGAAUAAAUACACAAAUUGGCGAGAACUCCUCCGCCUCCCUUUCGCCCCAGCAGCUCAGGAAAAACAAAUCUGGGUGUGGACGCGGAUUGGGACAUCGUGAUGAUCCAGGCAGCAGAAUUUCUCCAGACACCACCCAACCGGAGAGCAAGAUGGGAUGCAGCCCAACUGCAGGUCUAAACCCUACUUAUCGAUGUGCAGCUGAAAGACCACCUCCUCCAGGAAGUCCCCUGGAUUGCCCUGCUUGACAAGAGCUCUCUUGCGUCUGAGUUCCCACGGCCCGUCCUCGCCUCUUUUGAGCCACUUGCCACGGUGCACUCUGGUUACUUGGUGUUGUGUGUUGACUCGCGUCCCCCUCUUGAAAAGAUGUGUUGAAAUCCUAAGACCUGGUUCCUGUGAAUGUGACCUUAUUUGGGGUCUUCACGGAUGUGACUAGGUCAGAGGAGGUCACAGUCAGUUACCGUGGGUCCCGAACCCAUAGGCCCAGUGUCUUUACAGAGACACAGAGAUAGACACACAGGGUGAACGCCGUGUGACAAGAGAGGCCGAGACUGGAGUGAUGCAGCUGGAAGCCGAGGGAUGCUCAGGAUGGAGGCCACCCCCAGAGGCCAGGAGGAGGCAGGGAAGGCUCCACCCAGCAUCUCGGAGGAGGCCGGCUGACCCGGGAUCUCAGCCUUCUGGCCUCCAGACGGCGCGAGGACAGACUUCCGUGGUUUUAACCCACUCGGCUCGUGGUACCUUCUUCUAGCCGUCCUACGACACCCAUCCAUCGGGGUUCAGCCUCCCUUCCUCCUGGAGAAGGUUCCCCACUCCACACCACGUCUGGCUCAGUAUCGAUGCUCAGGAAAUACUUCCUGAGGCGUGAACAGCUGCAUGAGGACUAUCCACAUCUGGCUGGUUUUCGGUCCCCAAAUUGCACAGCAGGGACGGAGGCACCGUCCCACCUCACGUCCCUGUGGCCUCCAGUCUGGAUCCCCGCGGCAGACCCCGCCCUGGUCUCCUCACCUCCCCUCUGGUCUUCCGGCCGCUUCCUCCAGCUCUGCUGAACUCUUGAGCCUUUCUGCGCUGGUUGGGCUUGCCAGCCUCUGGGCCUUUGCCCGUGCUGUGCCCUUGACCUGAGCCCUCGGCCCCCUUGUCCUUCACGCCUGGACUCCAGCGGCUCCAGCGGGCUGCCUGGACACCGCCCAGCCUCUUCCCGGAGCUCUGGUUCCUCCCCUGCUCGUGCUCUCCUGGCACCUCUGCGUAUUCUGUCCCCGGGACAGAGCCUGUCAACCUGGAUUACAGUCAUUUGUGUCCCCUCUGUCCGCCCUGUGGCCUCUCAGUAUCUUGGGCUGAAAGGCCCUUUAUUUCUCAUCUCGUGUCGCGGUGCCUCCAGCAGGGGAGGCGCCUGGAUGCCUGUGACACAAGCGAGGGGAUGAAUCGGACUGAGCGCGAGGAGCAGCGAGUGGUCCGCCCUACCUUAGGGGGCGGGCAGUGGUUUUCGCAUCUGCUGGCUCCCUUCCAGGACGCGGGGGCCCGAAGAACGAGGAGGCUGGAGGGACACUGACGAGCAGAGCCUGAGGGGGCUGUCCAGUGGCUUCCUGGUCUGCCCUUUGCAGGUCUGAGCCGAAGGACCCAAGAGAGGAGGAAGGAAGAAGCUUGUCCAGGUCACACAGUACGUGGGGGCGCCUCCCCCCGCAGCCCCAAGAUCUGGCUAGUGUCCCCGGUCCGUUUGCUCAACGAGGCUCUGGAGCCUGGGAGGCCAGAACUGGGGGUGUGGUGGGGAAAGGAGGCGGGAGAGGAGACCGCGCCCCCGGGGAGAAGAUGACAACCUCCACUUCCAGCACAGCCCUGUGUGCCAGGCCCUGGCCCGCUGCUCUGACCCACCACCCCGAAUGCCCAGCACAGCCCCGGGGGGCAGGUGCCGUUGACAGAUGAAGGAGCUGAGGUCCAGCAGCCCCAGGUCCCACAGCCGGUAGAGCUGCCAUUUGACCCCAAGCCCUCCCAGCCCAAAGGCUGUGAGCUUUCUACUACAUCAGGAUGCCUCUUUCAUGAAACGCAGCAGCAUCUGGGUCCGGUCUUGGCCUCAGCGGUGGCCAGUCCAAAAGGGCAGCAAACCUGAUGUUUUCUCAGGUACCCAGAGAACAUCUUGUAGUUUGUGUUUUUCAACGUGGACGGGAAACCUCUGGGUCCCCAGGCCCUUGAAGAAGUUCCUUUUCCCAGUGGAGCAGUUACGGCAAGAGGAAGGAGCACAGAGACCAGGCAGGGGGCUCAGAUGCAGAGGAUUCCAUCCACCUUGUGAUGGCGCUAACACAAGAGGCCAAAGGCCACAUUAAUAGAGGUGGAGUGUCGAGGAGGAGAGAGGUGAUUACUCUGUCAGGUGUUGCAGGGGUCAAACAACAGUCUGAGCAGAGUCCACUCCUGGGACCUCACAUGGAGAGAGAUGUGGCCUGGUGAGGGGGCUGGGAAGUUUUAGCCCAGAGAAGACACAGCAGGAAACGAGGACUGUCAUCAAUACCUCAAGAGCUCUCCAGUGGAUGAGCAAUUAGACAGACUCCUUCUGGUUCUAAGAGCUGGGCAAGGACCAGCAGCUGGAGGGCACAGGAAGACAGAUUUCACAACUCUCCUCUCAAGGCACCAGGGGGCCCUCGGGGAGUAAGGCCUCCGUCCCAGAAGUCAUUCAACUGAGAUGAUAAAAAGGUGAGUCAGCAUGAAAUGCCGAGUUGCACCAGGUGCCUCACCUCUUGGAGAUAACGAGAAUAUCUGGCCUCAGGAGAUGCUCACAGCUCCACUCUCAUUCUGAAAUUUUCUGUGGCAAUACGUGAAUUACUGGCUAAAAUCUUAGAUGCCCAAAUCUUUGGAAUCAGGAAUUUCCCUUGGUCGUGGGGUCUGGGAAUCUGCAUUUUAAGGUGAGUCUGAUAAGCAACCAGGUUUGAAAAGCACCGUCUAUGAGGCCAUGGGGAGAGCAGCAGCCAUCUCCCAGCCCCUAUUACAGAAGAUGCUCAGCCCCGCCCCCAGCCCCAGGCCAGGGCCCAGAGGCCUGGACCGGCCGAGGCAGGCCAUACGCCUGGUGGCUGGUUCCUGUCCAUCAUAAUCCUCUGGGGAAGCAGGAAGUGAGUCUCGAUAUUUUCUGGCCUGGAAUAGUGGCUAGGGAGACGCACCCCUGAGGCCUGGGAUAUUUCUCUGGUGUGUUUGCCACUAACAGGUUGUGAGAGUUCAUUUUAUGUGUCAGUUUGGUGGGGACAGUGCCCAGAUAUGAGGUCACACAUCAUUCUGGAUGCUUCUGUGAAGAUGUUUUCAGAGGAGAUGAACAUUUAAAUCAGUGGACUCUGAGUAAAGCAGAUGGCCCUUCAUCAUGUGGGUGGGCCUCGUCCAAUCAGUUGAAGGCCUGAAUAGAACAAAAGGCUGACCUCCUCUGCACAAGAGAGAAUUCUGCAGCAGACUGGCCUUUGGACUUGGGCCGCAACGCUGGGUCUCUCCCGGGUCUUCAGCCUGCUGGCUCACCUUGUAGAUUUUGGACUUACCAGCUUCCGUAAUUGUGUGAGCCAAUUCCUUUAAAUAAACACACACACACACACACACAUCCCAUUGGUUCUAUUUCUCUGGAGAACCAUGACUGACACACAGGGAGUGCAACCAAGGAGAUCAAUAGAGAAAUCACGCGAAGCCAAGCUCUCUGGGCACCAGGAACGGCCAGGCGUAAAGGAGACACAGAGAAUGUGGAAGCUCUUUCUGCCGAGGCCGUUUCUGACGUCGGCUUCCGUGACGCAGAGCGCUGGCAGGAGGGGAGAGACCACGUCCUCUGCCUCGGCCGACGGCGCUGCAGGUGUGGGAAUGAUCCCUGGCUCGCCCUCUCCCGUCCUGUCAACAGCCGUGUCCUGCCAAUUUUGCCUCCUAGACAGAUCUCGAACCUCUCCUUCUCGUCUCCCUACUGCUACCCCCUGGUCCAGGCCAACGUCCCUCCCCUGGGCUGACGCUGCCGCCGCCACGCCUCUCCUCUCACCUCCCAACCAUCUGUGUUUCACUCAGCAGCCCAAGUCGUCUUUUUAAAACACAGACCCGCCCAGCUCCCUCGCCUCCUAAACAAUGUCCACUGGCUCUCCCUUGCCUGCAGGAGGGAGCCCAGACUGCUAGGCAGGAUGGGAGGCCUCUGCCAACUGACUCUAGCCGCUGGCUCCACCCCACCUCCCGCCACUGUCCCCGAGGACACCCGCCGCUCCAGCCAGCUGAGCUCCUCGGGGCUCCCUGCCUGCGAACGGCUCUCCCACAGCUGCCUGGGUCCGCACGGGCUGUUCAGCCCUCCAAGCUGCUCCCUCUUCCCCAUCCCCUUGUCCUCUGUGCAACUCAUCCGUGAAGAUGUGAGCCAGGCAUGCCCUCCUCUGGGACGUCCUCUUGGAUCCCUCCCCGGCCCUGCAGGCAGGUGCCCAGCCGCUAGGCAUUCCAGUAGGUCUGCACAUUCCUGCACACUUGGGUUUUUUUUCUUUUUGAGGAAGAUUAGUC